GCCCCACUUUCCGCGGCGGCGACGCGGAGUUACUUUCUGCAGCGAAGCAGCCUCGAGGACCUUAAAGGGAAAAGGCGGACAGAAGGAGGGCGAGCGCACUUGAUUUCGACCUUUAAGGGAGGCCCAGAUGCUGCCAGGCCCCUCAGUUUACCUUGCGAAGUUACUUACGGAUCAGCAGCAUUUGGUCUUCGUCGGGUGAGGGAGAAACCUAGGCAUCAAAUAAAUUCUGUUUCACAGA
RNAcentral lists this long non-coding RNA (238 nucleotides) under Homo sapiens (human). RNAcentral's name for it is "HSALNT0334517". Lineage: Eukaryota; Metazoa; Chordata; Mammalia; Primates; Hominidae. The record is from RNAcentral.